CCUACGGGAGGCAGCAGUGAGGGAUAUUGGUCAAUGGACGCAAGUCUGAACCAGCCAUGCCGCGUGCAGGAUGACGGCUCUAUGAGUUGUAAACUGCUUUUGUACGAGGGUAAACACCGAUACGUGUAGCGGGUUGAAAGUAUCGUACGAAUAAGGAUCGGCUAACUCCGUGCCAGCAGCCGCGGUAAUACGUAGGAUCCACGCGUUAUCCGGAUUUAUUGGGUUUAAAGGGUGCGUAGGCGGUAUGAUAAGUUAGAGGUGAAAGGUCGGGGCUCAACCCCGAAACUGCCUCUAAUACUGUUGGACUAGAGAAUAGUUGCGGUAGGCGGAAUGUAUGGUGUAGCGGUGAAAUGCUUAGAGAUCAUACAGAACACCGAUUGCGAAGGCAGCUUACCAAACUAUAACUGACGUUGAGGCACGAAAGCGUGGGUAGCAAACAGGAUUAGAUACCCGAGUAGUC
This 460-nucleotide ribosomal RNA is filed under the name uncultured bacterium. RNAcentral's name for it is "partial 16S ribosomal RNA". It matches the Rfam family "Bacterial small subunit ribosomal RNA", at positions 338 to 795 of the family's 1533-position model. The record is from RNAcentral.